This 240-nucleotide unclassified non-coding RNA is filed under the name soil metagenome. RNAcentral describes it as "partial contains 5.8S ribosomal RNA, internal transcribed spacer 2, and large subunit ribosomal RNA". The record is from RNAcentral.
AACCAUAGAAACCUGCGGAGUACCUGCGGAGGGAUCAUUACAGAGUUGCAAAACUCCCUAAACCUUUGUGAACGUUACCUAAACCGUUGCUUCGGCGGGCGGCCCGGGUCCUUCCCGGCGCCCCUCGGCCCUCGCGGGCGCCCGCCGGAGGUAAACCAAACUAUUGCAUUGUAUGGCCUCUCUGAGUCUUCUGUACUGAAUAAGUCAAAACUUUUAGCAACGGAUCUCAGAUCGGAAGAG